Molecule: ribosomal RNA, 429 nt
Filed under: Chloroflexota bacterium
Lineage: Bacteria; Bacillati; Chloroflexota
Description: Chloroflexi bacterium partial 16S ribosomal RNA
Rfam family: Bacterial small subunit ribosomal RNA
Source: RNAcentral
UGGGGAAUAUUGCACAAUGGGCGCAAGCCUGAUGCAGCCAUGCCGCGUGUGUGAAGAAGGCCUUCGGGUUGUAAAGCACUUUCAGCGGGGAGGAAGGCGUUAAGGUUAAUAACCUUGGCGAUUGACGUUACCCGCAGAAGAAGCACCGGCUAACUCCGUGCCAGCAGCCGCGGUAAUACGGAGGGUGCAAGCGUUAAUCGGAAUUACUGGGCGUAAAGCGCACGCAGGCGGUCUGUCAAGUCGGAUGUGAAAUCCCCGGGCUCAACCUGGGAACUGCAUUCGAAACUGGCAGGCUAGAGUCUUGUAGAGGGGGGUAGAAUUCCAGGUGUAGCGGUGAAAUGCGUAGAGAUCUGGAGGAAUACCGGUGGCGAAGGCGGCCCCCUGGACAAAGACUGACGCUCAAGUGCGAAAGCGUGGGGAGCAAACAGG